This 400-nucleotide ribosomal RNA is filed under the name uncultured bacterium. RNAcentral describes it as "bacterial SSU rRNA". It matches the Rfam family "Bacterial small subunit ribosomal RNA", at positions 355 to 772 of the family's 1533-position model. The record is from RNAcentral.
UGAGGAAUCUUCCACAAUGGGCGCAAGCCUGAUGGAGCGACACCGCGUGAAGGAUGAAGGUCUAACGAUUGUAAACUUCUUUUCUGGGGGAGCAUAAUGAGAGUACCUCAGGAAUAAGGGACGGCUAAAUACGUGCCAGCAGCCGCGGUAAUACGUAUGUCUCAAGCGUUAUCCGGAAUUACUGGGUGUAAAGAGUUCGUAGGUUGAAUUGUAAGUCAGGUAUGAAAGACCGGAGCUCAACUCCGUGUUUGUAUUUGAAACUGCUUUUCUAGAAUUAGGGAGAGGUAAGCGGAAUUCUAAGUGUAGGGGUGCAAUCCGUAGAUACUUAGAAGAACACCAAAAGCGAAGGCAGCUUACUGGAACUAUAUUGACGCUGAGGAACGAAAGCGUGGGGAGCGAA